GCUUGGGUGGCCCAGUUGGUUGAGCAUCCGACUUCGACUCAGGUCAUGAUGUCAUGGUUUGUGGGUUCAAGUCCCACGUCGGGCU
Molecule: transfer RNA, 85 nt
Filed under: Felis catus (domestic cat)
Lineage: Eukaryota; Metazoa; Chordata; Mammalia; Carnivora; Felidae
Also listed under: 6 other names
Rfam family: tRNA
About the family: Transfer RNA (tRNA) molecules are approximately 80 nucleotides in length.
Source: Rfam by way of RNAcentral